AUAUUGGAAGUAUAGAACCUAUAAAGAAUAUUUCUCGAAUGUAAUUUAACAGUUAAGGGUUAAUUAGUUAAAAUUAGAAUUCAAAGAGUGAGAAGUUUCGAAUAGUUGCGGUGGUUAGGACGGACAAAUCCUUUUACGAUUUAAACCGUUUUUUGUUUACCAUUCAUAAGCUAUAAUCCGUAGUAGUAUGGAUUGAGAAAAUAGAACAAGUCUGCAUCGGACUAACUAUGUACUGCUUUUACAUAUAAAAAAACUUGGUCUGUGGUUGUUUGUUGUCUGCUUCAAAAAUAAAGUGAUAUGUUUCGUUAGCGGUUUAGUUCACUUUUUUCAUUGCAUUCAUUCAAAACCUAAAACAUAAACUGUGAAACGCAUAAAGUUUUUAUUCGUGAAAUUUUUUGGUCAUUCUGAUGAUAAAUUUGGUCGAAUCAUCAUUAAAUAUAUCAUUUAAACGUCAUUAAAUUAACGAUGAAUUAACUAAGUGUUUACCAACUAAUUAUCAACGAUAAUUUUAUCAGUAUAUCAUAAAUUUGUUAUGUAUACGUUACCAUUUCGAGUUUAAAUGGUGAUAAUAGUCGAGAUGGACAUAUUCAUCAACGGUUUAGUAUGUUCUAUUUUUACUGCAGACAAUAAACUGUCGCGUCGCAGACCAACUCUAUUUGUAUGUUAAAGCGGUUCGUAGCUAGUUCACAACAAACUUUUUAAGAAAAAAAUCUCUGCUUACAAUACACAAUUUAUAAAU
This 739-nucleotide small RNA is filed under the name Arabidopsis thaliana (thale cress). RNAcentral's name for it is "ATSL219510". Lineage: Eukaryota; Viridiplantae; Streptophyta; Magnoliopsida; Brassicales; Brassicaceae. The record is from RNAcentral.